RNAcentral lists this ribosomal RNA (253 nucleotides) under uncultured bacterium. RNAcentral describes it as "partial 16S ribosomal RNA". It matches the Rfam family "Archaeal small subunit ribosomal RNA", at positions 474 to 727 of the family's 1478-position model. The record is from RNAcentral.
UACCAGCACCCCGAGUGGUCGGGACGAUUAUUGGGCCUAAAGCAUCCGUAGCCGGUUUUACAAGUCCUCCGUUAAAUCCAGCUGCUUAACAGAUGGGCUGCGGAGGAUACUAUAAGACUAGGAGGCAGGAGAGGCAAGCGGUACUCAGUGGGUAGGGGUAAAAUCCGUUGAUCCAUUGAAGACCACCAGUGGCGAAGGCGGCUGACUGGUCCGGUUCUGACGCUGAGGCGCGAAAGCGUGGGGAGCAAACAGG